CCUACGGGUGGCUGCAGUGGGGAAUCUUGCGCAAUGGGCGAAAGCCUGACGCAGCAACGCCGCGUGAGUGAUGAAGGCCCUCGGGUCGUAAAGCUCUGUCAGAAGGGAAGAAUUAAUGACGGUACCUUCAAAGGAAGCACCGGCUAACUCCGUGCCAGCAGCCGCGGUAAUACGGAGGGUGCAAGCGUUACUCGGAAUCAUUGGGCGUAAAGCGCACGUAGGCGGUCUCUUAAGUCCGAUGUGAAAUCCCGGGGCUCAACCUCGGAUGGCCAUUG
Molecule: ribosomal RNA, 275 nt
Filed under: uncultured bacterium
Lineage: Bacteria
Description: partial 16S ribosomal RNA
Rfam family: Bacterial small subunit ribosomal RNA
Source: RNAcentral